AUUGAACGCUGGCGGCAUGCCUUACACAUGCAAGUCGAACGAAGGUUGUAGCAAUACAUCCUUAGUGGCGAACGGGUGAGUAACGCGUUGGUGACCUGCCCCGAAGUGCGGGAUAACAGUCCGAAAGGAUUGCUAAUACCGCAUGGUUUCAUUUGGAUUAGAUGCCAGAUGAGCAAAGGCGAAAGUCGCUUCGGGAGGGGCUUGCGUCCCAUCAGCUAGUUGGUAGGGUAAUGGCCUACCAAGGCAAUGACGGGUAGGGGACCUGAGAGGGUGGCCCCCCACAAUGGAACUGAAACACGGUCCAUACACCUACGGGUGGCAGCAGUAGGGAAUAUUGGUUAAUGUGCGAAAGCGCGAACCAGCAACGCCGCGUGCACGAUGAAGGCCUUCGGGUUGUAAAGUGCUUUUUGAGGGGAUGAGGAAGGACAGUACCCUCAGAAUAAGUCUCGGCCAACUACGUGCCAGCAGCCGCGGUAAUCUUAGUCUACG
RNAcentral lists this ribosomal RNA (489 nucleotides) under uncultured bacterium. RNAcentral's name for it is "bacterial SSU rRNA". It matches the Rfam family "Bacterial small subunit ribosomal RNA", at positions 30 to 536 of the family's 1533-position model. The record is from RNAcentral.